CCUGGUGGCUCAGAUGGUAAAGCGUCUGCCUCCAAUGCGGGAGACCUGGGUUCGAUCCCUGGGUCAGGA
This 69-nucleotide transfer RNA is filed under the name Ovis aries (sheep). It matches the Rfam family "tRNA". From Rfam's summary of the family: Transfer RNA (tRNA) molecules are approximately 80 nucleotides in length. Their secondary structure includes four short double-helical elements and three loops (D, anti-codon, and T loops). The record is from Rfam by way of RNAcentral. Lineage: Eukaryota; Metazoa; Chordata; Mammalia; Artiodactyla; Bovidae.